Long non-coding RNA from Mustela lutreola (European mink), 211 nucleotides. RefSeq lists it as uncharacterized. The record is from RefSeq and is a predicted model, not a curated record. The transcript is spliced from 3 exons. Lineage: Eukaryota; Metazoa; Chordata; Mammalia; Carnivora; Mustelidae.
UAGGGAACUGGAAGGAUGGGAAGUCUCUGUACUGCUGUGCAUGUUGUGCACCCAGGCAGGGAGGGCAGAGGCCUUCCAUAGUCUUCACAAUUGAGGUGUGGAACGAGCAAGUUUGUUACUGUUCUAAAACAAGUCCAGCACAAUCUGUAGCCUGGUUGUUCGGAUCGAUCCAGAAGCUGAUUCCUGAACCCCGUGGGCCAGCCCAGGAACA